CGAUCAACCGAGAAAGAAACCUAAACGGUCAAAUAUUCGUCACAUCGCGUUAGCUUCUUUCCGCCAUAAGCGAAGCGUGCCUGCUUGCUCCCCAAGCCAACCCAAACCUUUACUAAUACCACUCAUCACCCUCUGAAAACCCAAAUGCUUCCCAAGCCCCAAACCACAUCAAAUUAGAAAAAACCCCAUUGCUUCCUUCACUUGAACACCAAAAAAACCUAUAUAUUUUAGGCCAUGUCGAUGGUAGGUUAUGGUUUUGCUGAAGCAUAUGUGCUCAGAGGCCUCCACAAGAAGAAGCUGAAGAUGGAGCAAGAAGAAGAAAGAGCCAAGUUGGGUGGAGCUGAAUCUGAAAUGGCUCAGCCUAGUGGUUGUUUGUUUCGGGUGAUGAAGAAAGUCCAUCCAAGCAAUGGUCAGAGUCAAAGGGCUUGUUCAGCUGAAACAGAAGAAACUGGAGAAGUUGGGCUUUGAACCAGAAAGUUAGAUAGAGCUCAGGCUCAUGACAUUUGUAGCUACUUUCAGUAAAAUGUGUUUUGUAUUAAAAAACAUUGUUAUGAAAAAGUAUAUGUUUGGGCUGAGUCAUGCUUUUAGCUUAAGACUUUUUAUUUUGAUGCACUUAAGCGUACUCAUUACACAUUUAACUUUGUUUUGUUGAUGGCCC
This 658-nucleotide long non-coding RNA is filed under the name Prunus dulcis (almond). Its description in RNAcentral is "sRNA ncRNA". Lineage: Eukaryota; Viridiplantae; Streptophyta; Magnoliopsida; Rosales; Rosaceae. The record is from RNAcentral.